GCAAGUCGAGCGGUAACAGAAAGUAGCUUGCUACUUUGCUGACGAGCGGCGGACGGGUGAGUAAUGCUUGGGAACAUGCCUUGAGGUGGGGGACAACAGUUGGAAACGACUGCUAAUACCGCAUAAUGUCUACGGACCAAAGGGGGCUUCGGCUCUCGCCUUUAGAUUGGCCCAAGUGGGAUUAGCUAGUUGGUGAGGUAAUGGCUCACCAAGGCGACGAUCCCUAGCUGGUUUGAGAGGAUGAUCAGCCACACUGGGACUGAGACACGGCCCAGACUCCUACGGGAGGCAGCAGUGGGGAAUAUUGCACAAUGGGCGCAAGUCUGAUGCAGCCAUGCCGCGUGUGUGAGGAAGGCCUUCGGGUUGUAAAGCACUUUCAGUCAGGAGGAAAGGUUAGUAGUUAAUACCUGCUAGCUGUGACGUUACUGACAGAAGAAGCACCGGCUAACUCCGUGCCAGCAGCCGCGGUAAUACGGAGGGUGCGAGCGUUAAUCGGAAUUACUGGGCGUAAAGCGUACGCAGGCGGUUUGUUAAGCGAGAUGUGAAAGCCCCGGGCUCAACCUGGGAACUGCAUUUCGAACUGGCAAACUAGAGUGUGAUAGAGGGUGGUAGAAUUUCAGGUGUAGCGGGUGAAAUGCGUAGAGAUCUGA
Molecule: ribosomal RNA, 650 nt
Filed under: uncultured bacterium
Lineage: Bacteria
Description: bacterial SSU rRNA
Rfam family: Bacterial small subunit ribosomal RNA
Source: RNAcentral